This is a long non-coding RNA of Mauremys reevesii (Reeves's turtle), 1125 nucleotides long. RefSeq lists it as uncharacterized. The transcript is spliced from 4 exons. The record is from RefSeq and is a predicted model, not a curated record. NCBI's taxonomy places the organism in Eukaryota, Metazoa, Chordata, Testudines, Geoemydidae.
GAGAGAGAUUUGGACCCAAGAGGAAGGGUUUGUCUACCAGACCCAGGAGACAGGGGUUUAGCUAGAAGGGUAGAGAAUGUGAGCCUAGGAUAGGCAAGGUAGGAAGAAGUCCAGGGGAGUGGCAAGAAGGUUUGUAGUUGCCCAGAUCUUUGCUGCUGCAGACAGGGUCCUUGGCCUGGAACCCAGUGUAUGGGGUGGACCUGGGUUCCCCAAUCAGUCACAGUGUGAGAAGCGCAGUCUGGGUAGUGAAAUAGGAGGCUGUCCGGGACUAUUUGUUCUUGCCACUGAAGGAGUGGCCCAAAUGUGGCAAUGGAGAUAAGGCCUGUCUGGGAUGGUGUGGAAGACUGUAAUAGUACCCUAGAAAGGGAGGACUCUAGUGGCUAAGCCAUGAAGAUGGGUGCGGCAGGUCCCCAGGAGCAAGAGAGUGGCUGCAAACCAAGAGAGGGAGACAACAGGCCGAAGAACUGCAAGAAGAGGGCAUUGGACUGAAAGAGCUAAUCCCCAGAGUGGCCAGGAGGCAGUACCACCUAUGAGCCCAUUUGUGUUCUCCCUGAUUUAACUACGCAUUUGGAUGAGUAGACACACUCCCAGGAAUAUCCAGAAGAGUGCAGAUGAACCGAAGAGCUUUAAGUCAACCACAUGCAUUCGAUAUUAGAGAAAAAGAAAAAGAGAAGGGACACAACAGACUGAGACAACACCAGGACAAUGACUGGAUCGGGAACCACUAAGAGCUGAUACCACUGGGGAUCAAAAUGGACGGGACAGCAAUGAAGACGACAACAAUGCAGGAGCGGGAUCAAGAUCGAUAUAAGGAGGAGACAUCUGGAGAUCAUGGUGUGCUUCUUCUGUUUAAUAGUACAUUACAACAGCAUGAGUUUCAGAGAAGUGCCAGGAGUUUCAGAGAAGUGCCCGGAGCUUCUCCGCAGUGAUGGGUGGUGUGAGUAAAUGGACCUAUGUGCUUAUAUUUAUAGAAGAGGAAAUGAAGACUCUCCUUUGACUUGUAAUCUGUUCUAGCUGUGGGGAGAAUAUCAUGCUGUAUUGUACCCUAUGCAACCCAGCUAUAUCGGGUGUUUUUUCACAGCCAUGCUAAGAGUUAAACACUCCAGGCUGAAAAGAAAGACAUCC